This 292-nucleotide ribosomal RNA is filed under the name uncultured bacterium. Its description in RNAcentral is "partial 16S ribosomal RNA". RNAcentral also lists the same sequence under 2 other names. The record is from RNAcentral.
GGACUACAGGGGUAUCUAAUCCCGUUUGCUCCCCUAGCUUUCGCGCCUCAGCGUCAGAAAAGGUCCAGCAGCUCGCUUUCGCCACCGGCGUUCCUUCCAAUAUCAACGCAUUUCACCGCUCCACUGGAAGUUCCAGCUGCCCCUACCUCACUCCAGACAAGCAGUAUCCAAGGCACUUUUCCGGUUAAGCCGAAAGAUUUCACCCCGGACUUGCUUGCCCGCCUACGCGCCCUUUAAGCCCAGUGAUUCCGAACAACGUUCGCACGGUUCGUCUUACCGCGGCGGCUGGCAC